GACGAACGCUGGCGGCGUGCCUAAUACAUGCAAGUAGAACGCUGAAGGAGGAGCUUGCUUCUCUGGAUGAGUUGCGAACGGGUGAGUAACACGUAGGUAACCUGCCUGGUAGCGGGGGAUAACUAUUGGAAACGAUAGCUAAUACCGCAUAAGAGUAGAUGUUGCAUGACAUUUGCUUAAAAGGUGCAAUUGCGUCACUACCAGAUGGACCUGCGUUGUAUUAGCUAGUUGGUGGGGUAACGGCUCACCAAGGCGACGAUACAUAGCCGACCUGAGAGGGUGAUCGGCCACACUGGGACUGAGACACGGCCCAGACUCCUACGGGAGGCAGCAGUAGGGAAUCUUCGGCAAUGGACGGAAGUCUGACCGAGCAACGCCGCGUGAGUGAAGAAGGUUUUCGGAUCGUAAAGCUCUGUUGUAAGAGAAGAACGAGUGUGAGAGUGGAAAGUUCACACUGUGACGGUAGCUUACCAGAAAGGGACGGCUAACUACGUG
This 495-nucleotide ribosomal RNA is filed under the name uncultured bacterium. RNAcentral's name for it is "partial 16S ribosomal RNA". It matches the Rfam family "Bacterial small subunit ribosomal RNA", at positions 28 to 507 of the family's 1533-position model. The record is from RNAcentral.